RNAcentral lists this transfer-messenger RNA (363 nucleotides) under Escherichia coli. RNAcentral describes it as "Standard tmRNA". It matches the Rfam family "transfer-messenger RNA". From Rfam's summary of the family: Bacterial tmRNA, also known as 10Sa RNA or SsrA, is named for its dual tRNA and mRNA-like properties. The record is from RNAcentral. RNAcentral also lists the same sequence under 9 other names. Lineage: Bacteria; Pseudomonadati; Pseudomonadota; Gammaproteobacteria; Enterobacterales; Enterobacteriaceae.
GGGGCUGAUUCUGGAUUCGACGGGAUUUGCGAAACCCAAGGUGCAUGCCGAGGGGCGGUUGGCCUCGUAAAAAGCCGCAAAAAAUAGUCGCAAACGACGAAAACUACGCUUUAGCAGCUUAAUAACCUGCUUAGAGCCCUCUCUCCCUAGCCUCAGCUCUUAGGACGGGGAUCAAGAGAGGUCAAACCCAAAAGAGAUCGCGUGGAAGCCCUGCCUGGGGUUGAAGCGUUAAAACUUAAUCAGGCUAGUUUGUUAGUGGCGUGUCCGUCCGCAGCUGGCAAGCGAAUGUAAAGACUGACUAAGCAUGUAGUACCGAGGAUGUAGGAAUUUCGGACGCGGGUUCAACUCCCGCCAGCUCCACCA